GACGAACGCUGGCGGCGUGCUUAACACAUGCAAGUCGAACGGAAAGGCCCUGCUUUUGUGGGGUGCUCGAGUGGCGAACGGGUGAGUAACACGUGAGUAACCUGCCCUUGACUUUGGGAUAACUUCAGGAAACUGGGGCUAAUACCUGAUAGGAGCUCCUGCUGCAUGGUGGGGGUUGUAAAGUUUCGGCGGUUGGGGAUGGACUCGCGUCUUAUCAGCUUGUUGGUGGGGUAGUGGCUUACCAAGGCUUUGACGGGUAGCCGGCCUGAGAGGGUGACCGGCAACAUUGGGACUGAGAUACGGCCCAGACUACUACGGGAGGAAGCAGUGGGGAAUAUUGCAAAAUGGGCGGAAGCCUGAUGCAGCAACGCCGCGUGCGGGAUGACGGCCUUCGGGUUGUAAACCGCUUUCGCCUGUGAAGAAGAGUGAGUGACGGUAAUGGGUAAAGAAGCACCGGCUAACUACGUG
This 468-nucleotide ribosomal RNA is filed under the name uncultured bacterium. Its description in RNAcentral is "partial 16S ribosomal RNA". It matches the Rfam family "Bacterial small subunit ribosomal RNA", at positions 28 to 507 of the family's 1533-position model. The record is from RNAcentral.